UGGUCUAGCGUGAGUGACACCUGCAUCUGUAACUUACCCAUUGGAUGUUCUUCGAAAUCACCUGACAACACAGAAAACCACUAGGUAUUACAAGGGCAUCUUUCACACGUUGUCUACAAUUUGUAGAGAAGAGAAUAGUAGAGGAUUGUAUAAAGGCCUUUGGUCCACCUUAUUGUAUCAUUUUUUGUCAAGAAACUGAGAAGACGGAAGAGAGUUGGUGUUGUCAGUGUGGUGAGCCUAUGCGGCAACCACAAGGCUGAAGUCUGCUUUGAUCGUUAUUCAAGAUUUGAGCCUUGGCUCCAGUUUUGGUAGCUCUAUAUCAACUUUCAGCGAGUUUUUGUUCUCGGACUUGGGAUCCACAGUCCAAAGUUGAUUGGUGGAUCAAGUGAACUUGGUGCAUCUCCAUUCAAGCUGGAGUACAAUUACCGGCCUGCUUGUUUAGCGCAGUCUCCACAAUCAUACAAGCAAAUGAGCAGCUGGCGACCCAACACACAAAGUUUCUAUCUUCUUAUUUUCUAUACAAGUAGUAGCUGGCGCAGCGGUGGUGUUGAUGAACGACACCCAAUGCAGAGGCGACAGUUACCAUAGGGAAGAGGUCAAGAACAUCUAGCUCUUGUGGUGUUCCUCCUCAUUAUUGUCAUCGCCAUCAACAGCAACAAUGACGACCGGCUCAUGAGACAGCUACUAGAGAGGGAGCGAGGAAGGGGGAGACAAAUCUUUCAGGUACAAUGGUAUGACAACCAUGUUCUGAACUAUCAAUGAGAUUUGGUGCUAAGUCAGCAUCGUGUUUUAUCCAAUCUAUCAAACACCAUAAGUUUCAUGUCGAAUGUGUUGUAGAAAUGUUCUUCCAUAAAUAUGGUUUUAGUCCUUCA
Long non-coding RNA from Triticum dicoccoides, 872 nucleotides. RefSeq lists it as uncharacterized. The transcript is spliced from 4 exons. The record is from RefSeq and is a predicted model, not a curated record. Lineage: Eukaryota; Viridiplantae; Streptophyta; Magnoliopsida; Poales; Poaceae.